CUAAAGGUCUCGCAUCAUGGCUGACCUUGUUCUCUGACCCCAGCUUCUUCCUAUCAAAAGAAUUUCACUGUACUGCUGCUUCCAUUUUUUUUUCUUCUUCUACUGGCAUGUUUCCGGGAGGUGGGAGGAAACUAGAGAACCCAGAGGAAACCCACAUGGACAACGGGAGAGUAUGCAAAGAAACCAGAGACCCUGGAGCUGGUCACAAGGAACCUGGAGCAUUUCCUAGUGGACUCAGGGAACAGGGCGGGAGACACCCUUCGCAGGGCACAAUCACAUAAACACUAUGGACAAUUUAGGGAUGCCAAUCAGCCUACAGCACAUAUCUUUGGACUGGGGGAGGAAACCAGAGUACCCGGAGGAAACCCCCAAAACAUGGGGAGAACGUUCAAGGCACACAGUGCGGAGGCAGGAAUCAAACCCCAACCCCAGAGAUGAGAAGAGUGUGGAGAGUCCAUGGGAGGUGUGAAUGGGAGCCUUCCUUCAACAGGCAUUUUACUGCGUUAAGAGAAACCACCAUUGUUUAUUGAUUAUUAUAUAGCUUACUCAAUACUAUAAGCUGCAUUACAACUCUAUUACCACUGUUGAGGCUGAUGAUACUCAUAUAUACCUGUGCUUUUGUCCAGAAUAUCUGUCAGAACACAUUGGUAUCCCAGCCUAAAUUAACGAUCACCAUUUCUCAACAUUUUGAAACCAGCAUUUAAAAAUUUUUUAUCCUGCCAAGUCCCUUACAUUAACAAAAGCUUUUCAGGAGAGAAACAUUUUAUCUCAUUGACUAUCAUCGACAAAUCUUAGGGUCAUGGUUGGUGACAAGACCAACUUCAUGGCAGUAUCUCAGUCUUGCUUUGCUCUAUUUAAUAUCAGGAAGAUCAGAGUUUUGUAAUACAUGACACAGCCUCUUGUCCAGACACUUGUCAUCUCUGUUGACAGAAUCAAAAUAUGAUUGUG
Molecule: long non-coding RNA, 948 nt
Organism: Ictalurus punctatus (channel catfish)
Lineage: Eukaryota; Metazoa; Chordata; Actinopteri; Siluriformes; Ictaluridae
Source: Ensembl